CCGGGACGCAGGGAGCUGGAUGGAGAGCGAGCCUGGGCGGCGAAAGGUUGCCGAGGCGGGGGCUGGGCGCCUGGGAACAAAGUUGAAAAUGCAACUGCAAGCUCCCCGGUGAAACAAAUACCGCCUUCAACCUUCGUAUUCUGUGGUGACUCAUCUCGCACGUGACCCCCCUCCCUCUUCAAGGUGUGUUGACCGACUACAGUUUAAGCCUGUCGUCCCACAAAAGGCCCGGGAGGGCCGGGGUCCCAGGAAGGGCCAUCCUGGGUCAACACCGCCCCAGUUGGGAAGUCGGGCCGCUUUCGGACUUGCCACUGGGAAGGGAAGUGAUUUGGGGGCGGCAGGUAAGGCCGCGCCCCUUCGCCAUCACCUGGGGAAAGGUACCAGAGUUGAGCCGGGGCGCCCGCAGGCCUGUCUGGGCCUCGGGGUAAGGCGGCGCUGGCCCCGCCCCCUGCCCCUCCCGCCGCGAGUGGCCUCGCGUGGUCGCCCAGGUGAGCCGCGGGGCCGCGAGCCACCGCUCACCCCGCGUCGGGGCGGGGGCUGGGGGUGGAGCCUCAUGCCCCGCCCCGCGGCUGGGCCCUGCCGCGCCGCUGCGGCUCCUCCUCCCUCCUUCCGUCCUCCGCGCCUUCCGUCGGUCGGUCCUUGCUUCCUGCUUCGCCUCCGCGCCUCGCGCUAUGGGACAGAGCCCCCGAUCCGCCAGCACCACCUGAGGAUCCAGAAACCGCCCCAGCGAUGGAAGAGGAUCAGGAGCUGGAGAGAAAAAUAUCUGGAUUGAAGACCUCAAUGGCUGAAGGCGAGAGGAAGACAGCCCUGGAAAUGGUCCAGGCAGCUGGAACAGAUAGACACUGUGUGACAUUUGUAUUGCACGAGGAAGACCAUACCCUAGGAAAUUCUCUACGUUACAUGAUCAUGAAGAACCCGGAAGUGGAAUUUUGUGGUUACACUACGACCCAUCCUUCAGAGAGCAAAAUUAAUUUACGCAUUCAGACUCGAGGUACCCUUCCAGCUGUUGAGCCAUUUCAGAGAGGCCUGAAUGAGCUCAUGAAUGUCUGCCAACAUGUGCUUGACAAGUUUGAGGCCAGCAUAAAGGACUAUAAGGAUCAAAAAGCAAGCAGAAAUGAAUCCACAUUCUAGUCCUUUAUGCAGUAUACAAGGAGAACUGUCCUGUAGGAUAUUCUCUUCCUGAUGGUGCAGAACCCAGAAUUAGAAGUUUGUGGUUACAGCAUACUCUGUCCUUCAGAAAGGCGUGAUUCUAGCUGUUGACCCCUUGCAGCUGUUGGAAUCUCUGCAAGAACCUCUGUAUUCUUCUAAUAAAUUCCCUCUUUUAUU
RNAcentral lists this long non-coding RNA (1326 nucleotides) under Homo sapiens (human). Its description in RNAcentral is "long non-coding RNA NONHSAT165404.1". Lineage: Eukaryota; Metazoa; Chordata; Mammalia; Primates; Hominidae. The record is from RNAcentral.